UGAGGAAUAUUGGUCAAUGGGCGAGAGCCUGAACCAGCCAAGCAGCGUGCAGGAUGACGGCCCUAUGGUUUGUAACCUGCUUCUAUGUGGGGAUAAAGUGCGUGACGUGUCAUUCAUUGCAGGUACCACAUGAAUAAGGACCGGCUAAUUCCGUGCCAGCAGCCGCGGUAUUACGGAAGGUUCGGGCUUUAUCCGGAGUAAUUGGGUUUAAAGGUAGCGUAGGCUGUCUAUUAAGCGUGUUGUGAAAUUUACCGGCUCAACCGGUGGCUAGCAGCGCGAACUGGUCGACUUGAGUAUGCAGGAAGUAGGCGGAAUUCAUGGUGGAGCGGUGAAAUGCUUAGGUAUCAUGACGAACUCCGAUUGCGCAGGCAGCUUACUGUAGCAUAACUGACGCUGAUGCUCGAAAGUGCGGGUAUCAAACAGG
This 424-nucleotide ribosomal RNA is filed under the name Verrucomicrobiota bacterium. Its description in RNAcentral is "Verrucomicrobia bacterium partial 16S ribosomal RNA". It matches the Rfam family "Bacterial small subunit ribosomal RNA", at positions 355 to 776 of the family's 1533-position model. Lineage: Bacteria; Pseudomonadati; Verrucomicrobiota. The record is from RNAcentral.